GAGCUUAAGUCGACGAAUUCCUAAGAACUCGUAAUAAAAGAGAAAAAGUAUGACGAAGUCGUCGAAAAGUAGAUGCUGGAAUAUGAGUAAAAACGUGUGUUUGAUUGAUUGAUCGAUUAUUCAUUACAAGGUCCUAGGGUCUAUAUUUAUACCCUGCUCAAAGAGCUACAGCCAGACAUGACUAGAAUUCGAAUUCCAAAUUACACGGAAUCCGUAUACAAAACGAUUUAAAUAAUUAAGGAAAUAACAAAACUAUCCCCCGUGACAAACUGAAACUCUUCCACAAACCAUCGGCGGCUCUCGAACUCUCUCUUCGUAUCAUCGGCAGAUUCCCUUGCCAUAGUCAUCGGCAGACUUCCUCAUCGUAGCCAUCGGUACAGACACAUCACCGCCUGUAGACUUAGUCACGGUCAACCUCUCCUUCAUCGGCAACCAUCCUCAUCGGCAACUCAUCCUGUAAACAAAACACUGCCGUCUUAUCCUGCCGACCUGGACACGUGCCCAAAAACGGUGUCAACAGUUCUGGUUUUAUUUUAAUUGUUUUGCUUCAAAACUCUUUUGGAAAAUGUCUUGGAAAAAAAAGAAAUCAGAAAAGAAAAAGAAAAGAAAAGGGGAGAAGCCCCUGGAAACCAACCCGCAGCCCACUGGUUCCCCUCGCUCGGUCCAGCAAGCGGCCC
Molecule: long non-coding RNA, 677 nt
Filed under: Sorghum bicolor (sorghum)
Lineage: Eukaryota; Viridiplantae; Streptophyta; Magnoliopsida; Poales; Poaceae
Description: long non-coding RNA (SBIC_LNC013036)
Source: RNAcentral